RNAcentral lists this unclassified non-coding RNA (360 nucleotides) under uncultured Ascomycota. RNAcentral describes it as "sequence contains ITS2". The stretch from base 1 to 154 matches the Rfam family "5.8S ribosomal RNA". Lineage: Eukaryota; Fungi; Ascomycota. The record is from RNAcentral.
AACUUUCAACAACGGAUCUCUUGGCUCUGGCAUCGAUGAAGAACGCAGCGAAAUGCGAUAUGUAAUGCGAAUUGCAGAAUUUAGUGAAUCAUCGAAUCUUUGAACGCACAUUGCGCCCCUUGGUAUUCCGAGGGGCAUGCCUGUCCGAGCGUCAUAUACACCAUUCAAGCUCUGCUUGGUAUUAGGCCGUGCAGCGAUGGCAGGCCUUAAAUUUAGUGGCGGCACCGUUGGGUCCCGAGCGUAGUACUCACCUCGCUACGGGUCCCGGCGGCUGGCGACCAGCAACCCCAACUUCUCAAGGUUGACCUCGGAUCAGGUAGGAAUACCCGCUGAACUUAAGCAUAUCAAUAAGCGGAGGCU